CCUACGGGAGGCUGCAGUAGGGAAUUUUCCACAAUGGGCGCAAGCCUGAUGGAGCAACACCGCGUGAGUGAAGAAGGGUUUCGGCUCGUAAAGCUCUGUUGUUGGAGACGAACGUGCGUUAGAGUAACUGUUCACGCAGUGACGGUAUCCAACCAGAAAGUCACGGCUAACUACGUGCCAGCAGCCGCGGUAAUACGUAGGUGGCAAGCGUUAUCCGGAUUUAUUGGGCGUAAAGCGAGCGCAGGCGGUCGUUUAGGUCUGAUGUGAAAGCCUUCGGCUUAACCUAAGAAGGGCAUCGGAGACUGGGCGACUUGAGUGCAGAAGAGGACAGUGGAACUCCAAGUGUAGCAGUGGAAUGCGUAGAUAUAUGGAAGAACACCAGUGGCGAAGGCGGCUGUCUGGUCUGCAACUGACGCUGAGGCUCGAAAGCAUGGGUAGCGAACAGGAUUAGAUACCCGGGUAGUC
This 465-nucleotide ribosomal RNA is filed under the name uncultured bacterium. Its description in RNAcentral is "partial 16S ribosomal RNA". It matches the Rfam family "Bacterial small subunit ribosomal RNA", at positions 338 to 795 of the family's 1533-position model. The record is from RNAcentral.